This 469-nucleotide ribosomal RNA is filed under the name uncultured bacterium. RNAcentral describes it as "bacterial SSU rRNA". It matches the Rfam family "Bacterial small subunit ribosomal RNA", at positions 8 to 474 of the family's 1533-position model. The record is from RNAcentral.
AGAGUUUGAUCAUGGCUCAGGAUGAACGCUAGCGGCAGGCCUAAUACAUCCAAGUCGAGGGGUAAGGUCUCUUUCGGGAGAUACACGACCGGCGCACGGGUGCGUAACGCGUAUGCAACCUACCUUUAACAGAGAGAUAGCCCCGAGAAAUCGGGAUUAAUAUCACAUAACAUUAUGAUAUGGCAUCAUAUUAUAAUUAAAACUCCGGUGGUUAAAGAUGGGCAUGCGUGACAUUAGCUAGUUGGUGAGGUAACUGCUCACCAAGGCUACGAUGUCUAGGGGGUCUGAGAGGAUGAUCCCCCACACUGGUACUGAGACACGGACCAGACUCCUACGGGAGGCAGCAGUAAGGAAUAUUGCGCAAUGGAGGCAACUCUGACGCAGCCAUGCCGCGUGAAGGAAGAAGGCCUUAUGGGUCGUAAACUUCUUUUAUUUAGGAAUAAUCCCUCGUUCGUGAACGAGGUUGAAG